This 72-nucleotide transfer RNA is filed under the name Candidatus Woesearchaeota archaeon. Its description in RNAcentral is "tRNA-Arg". It matches the Rfam family "tRNA". From Rfam's summary of the family: Transfer RNA (tRNA) molecules are approximately 80 nucleotides in length. Lineage: Archaea; Nanobdellati; Candidatus Woesearchaeota. The record is from RNAcentral.
GCCCCUGUAGUACAGUGGAUAGUACGCAGCCCUGCGGAGGCUGAAACCGGGGUUCGAGUCCUCGCAGGGGCA